UACGUAGGGGGCAAGCGUUGUCCGGAUUUAUUGGGCGUAAAGAGCGUGUAGGCGGCCAAGCAGGUCCGCUGUGAAAACUCGAGGCUCAACCUCGAGACGUCGGUGGAAACCGUGUGGCUAGAGUCCGGAAGAGGAGAGUGGAAUUCCCGGUGUAGCGGUGAAAUGCGCAGAUAUCGGGAAGAACACCCGUGGCGAAGGCGGCUCUCUGGGACGGUACUGACGCUGAGACGCGAAAGCGUGGGGAGCGAACAGG
This 253-nucleotide ribosomal RNA is filed under the name uncultured bacterium. Its description in RNAcentral is "partial 16S ribosomal RNA". It matches the Rfam family "Bacterial small subunit ribosomal RNA", at positions 524 to 776 of the family's 1533-position model. The record is from RNAcentral.